GCGGAGGGCCGGACGGCCGCCUGCAAUGCGCCAUCGGCGGAUUGUUUGGGAGGAAAGUCCGGACUCCACAAGGCAACGGUGCCGGGUAACGCCCGGCCGGGGCAACCCGAGGGAAAGCGCCACAGAGAACAGACCACUUCGACAUCUGAUCGGAGAAAGGGUGAAACGGUGGGGUAAGAGCCCACCGCGGGACGGGCAACCGGACCGGCAUGGCAAGCCCCACCGGGAGCAAUGCCGAAUAGGGAUCGCACCAUGGGCCGCCUUGGCCCCGCGAUCCGGGUUGGCAGCUAAAGCCUGCGGGCAACCGCAGGACCAGAUGAAUGGUCGUCCUACGACAGAAUCCGGCUUACAGGCCCUCCGCGCGC
RNAcentral lists this RNase P RNA (365 nucleotides) under Roseovarius atlanticus. Its description in RNAcentral is "RNase P RNA component class A". It matches the Rfam family "Bacterial RNase P class A". Rfam says of the family: Ribonuclease P (RNase P) is a ubiquitous endoribonuclease, found in archaea, bacteria and eukarya as well as chloroplasts and mitochondria. Its best characterised activity is the generation of mature 5'-ends of tRNAs by cleaving the 5'-leader elements of precursor-tRNAs. Cellular RNase Ps are ribonucleoproteins. Lineage: Bacteria; Pseudomonadati; Pseudomonadota; Alphaproteobacteria; Rhodobacterales; Roseobacteraceae. The record is from RNAcentral.